This 2172-nucleotide ribosomal RNA is filed under the name Acinetobacter baumannii. Its description in RNAcentral is "bacterial LSU rRNA". It matches the Rfam family "Bacterial large subunit ribosomal RNA", at positions 633 to 2925 of the family's 2925-position model. Lineage: Bacteria; Pseudomonadati; Pseudomonadota; Gammaproteobacteria; Moraxellales; Moraxellaceae. The record is from RNAcentral.
UUUAUGCGUUAGGAUCAAGAAGUGGAGUAGCUUGCUUAAAUGGCGUUUUACUUGAACAAAUAAUGCGUUAUAAGCAGGCUCAUCCAGAACGCAAAAUUAUUGUUAUUUGUCAUUGGGGUGUCGACAUUUGAUGGAGCAUUUCUUGCAAAGGUUUGGUCAUCCCGACUUACCAAACCGAUGCAAACUCCGAAUACCUAUGAGUACUAUCCGGGAGACAGACUGCGGGUGCUAACGUCCGUAGUCAAGAGGAAAACAAUCCAGACCGCCAGCUAAGGCCCCAAAAUCAUAGUUAAGUGGGAAACGAUGUGGGAAGGCAUAGACAGCUAGGAGGUUGGCUUAGAAGCAGCCACCCUUUAAAGAAAGCGUAAUAGCUCACUAGUCGAGUCGGCCUGCGCGGAAGAUGUAACGGGGCUAAAACUAUGUGCCGAAGCUGCGGAUUUGACAUUAGUCAAGUGGUAGGGGAGCGUUCUGUAAGCCGAUGAAGGUGUAUUGAGAAGUAUGCUGGAGGUAUCAGAAGUGCGAAUGCUGACGUGAGUAACGACAAAACGGGUGAAAAACCCGUUCGCCGAAAGACCAAGGGUUCCAGUCCAACGUUAAUCGGGGCUGGGUGAGUCGACCCCUAAGGCGAGGCCGAAAGGCGUAGUCGAUGGGAAAAUGGUUAAUAUUCCAUUACUUCUGUGUAAUGCGAUGAGAGGACGGAGAAGGCUAAAUCAGCCUGGCGUUGGUUGUCCAGGUGAAAGGAUGUAGGCAUGUAUCUUAGGCAAAUCCGGGGUACUCUAUGCUGAGAUCUGAUAGCAAGCUGUACUUGUACAGCGAAGUGGUUGAUGCCAUGCUUCCAGGAAAAGUCUCUAAGCUUCAGUUACACAGGAAUCGUACCCGAAACCGACACAGGUGGUCAGGUCGAGUAGACCAAGGCGCUUGAGAGAACUCUGCUGAAGGAACUAGGCAAAAUGGUACCGUAACUUCGGGAGAAGGUACGCUGUUGUUGGUGAUGGAACUCGCUUCCUGAGCUGACGACAGCCGCAGAAACCAGGCCGCUGCAACUGUUUAUUAAAAACAUAGCACUCUGCAAACACGAAAGUGGACGUAUAGGGUGUGAUGCCUGCCCGGUGCUGGAAGGUUAAUUGAUGGGGUUAGCGUAAGCGAAGCUCUUGAUCGAAGCCCCAGUAAACGGCGGCCGUAACUAUAACGGUCCUAAGGUAGCGAAAUUCCUUGUCGGGUAAGUUCCGACCUGCACGAAUGGCAUAAUGAUGGCGGCGCUGUCUCCAGCAGAGGCUCAGUGAAAUCGAAAUCGCUGUGAAGAUGCAGUGUACCCGCGGCUAGACGGAAAGACCCCGUGAACCUUUACUGCAGCUUGACACUGAACUUUGACCUUACUUGUGUAGGAUAGGUGGGAGGCUUUGAAGCUGGAACGCUAGUUCCAGUGGAGCCGUCCUUGAAAUACCACCCUGGUAAUGUUGAGGUUCUAACUCUGUCCCGUGAUCCGGGACGAGGACCGUGUCUGGUGGGUAGUUUGACUGGGGCGGUCUCCUCCUAAAGAGUAACGGAGGAGUACGAAGGUGCGCUCAGCGUGGUCGGAAAUCACGCGUAGAGUAUAAAGGCAAAAGCGCGCUUAACUGCGAGACCCACAAGUCGAGCAGGUACGAAAGUAGGUCUUAGUGAUCCGGUGGUUCUGUAUGGAAGGGCCAUCGCUCAACGGAUAAAAGGUACUCUGGGGAUAACAGGCUGAUACCGCCCAAGAGUUCAUAUCGACGGCGGUGUUUGGCACCUCGAUGUCGGCUCAUCUCAUCCUGGGGCUGAAGCAGGUCCCAAGGGUAUGGCUGUUCGCCAUUUAAAGAGGUACGCGAGCUGGGUUUAGAACGUCGUGAGACAGUUCGGUCCCUAUCUACCGUGGGCGCUGGAAAUUUGAGAGGAUCUGCUCCUAGUACGAGAGGACCAGAGUGGACGAACCUCUGGUGUACCGGUUGUGACGCCAGUCGCAUCGCCGGGUAGCUAUGUUCGGAAGGGAUAACCGCUGAAAGCAUCUAAGCGGGAAGCCUACCUCAAGAUAAGAUUUCCCUAGGACUUUAUGUCCUCUAAAGAGCCGUUCGAGACUAGGACGUUGAUAGGUUGGAUGUGGAAGCAUAGUGAUAUGUGAAGCUGACCAAUACUAAUUGCUCGUGAGGCUUGACU